This 457-nucleotide long non-coding RNA is filed under the name Arabidopsis thaliana (thale cress). RNAcentral describes it as "long non-coding RNA (ATHA_LNC000272)". Lineage: Eukaryota; Viridiplantae; Streptophyta; Magnoliopsida; Brassicales; Brassicaceae. The record is from RNAcentral.
UUAGAAGAAGCAAAUGGAGUAUAAGUAAGCAUAAGUAUACAUGAUCUUCUCUGGUAUAUGUCUAAUCUCUUGACUAGUGUUCUUAUGAAUUUCAAGGCUUUUUCUGCUAGUUUAAAAUACCUUGUCGUAGCACUGGAACUCUCCAAUUCCGGGGAAUCUCCAGGUCCCGUUGCUCUCAGGGUAUGAUGGGUAUCUCAAUUCUCCACAAGGUCCCAUUCCUACUUGAAUUUCCUGCAAUACAUAAAAUGAUGAUCCAAUUAGCUUAGGUCCCUGUAUUGCUCAUGUCUGAAGUUAAUUCGUUUCCUUUGUAGUCUAAAUUUCUGCUUACCGCAAUAACUCCUCCUAUGUAGCCUUCAAAUCGUUCACGGAAGCUCCUCAUGAAAUCUGAGUAGACCUGGAUAGGUGUUCUUCCUCUUAGGACAGGCACAGAAUCACAUCCCAAGGAGAUAUAUUCAGG